UCUUGGUCAUUUAGAGGAAGUAAAAGUCGUAACAAGGUCUCCGUAGGUGAACCUGCGGAGGGAUCAUUACAGAGUUCAUGCCCUCCGGGUAGAACUCCCACCCACUGUUAUCAUUACUCUCGUUGCUUUGGCGGGCCGCUGGGCUCUGCCCGGCCGCCGGCUCCGGCUGGCGCGUGCCCGCCAGAGGCUCCACAGACUCUGAAUGUUAGUGUCGUCCGAGUAACUAUAUAAUCGUUAAAACUUUCAACAACGGAUCUCUUGGUUCUGGCAUCGAUGAAGAACGCAGCGAAAUGCGAUAAGUAAUGCGAAUUGCAGAAUUCAGUGAGUCAUCGAAUCUUUGAACGCACAUUGCGCCCUGUGGUAUUCCGCAGGGCAUGCCUGUUCGAGCGUCAUUUCAACCCUCAAGCCCAGCUUGGUGUUGGGCCCUGCCCGUCGUGGCUGGCCCUAAAGACAGUGGCGGCGCCGCCUGGCCCUCAGCGUAGUACAACUCUCGCUCCAGGGUCCGGCGGUGGCCUGCCAGAACCCCCAACUCUGUGGUUGACCUCGGAUCAGGUAGGGAUACCCGCUGAACUUAAGCAUAUCAAUAAGCGGAGGA
RNAcentral lists this ribosomal RNA (595 nucleotides) under uncultured fungus. RNAcentral's name for it is "eukaryotic LSU rRNA". The stretch from base 239 to 392 matches the Rfam family "5.8S ribosomal RNA". The record is from RNAcentral. Lineage: Eukaryota; Fungi.